CCUGGUUGAUCCCUCCCGUAGUCAUACACCUGUUUUAAAGAUUAAACCAUGCCAGUGUAAGUAUAAACAAUUCUAUACUGUGAAACUGCGAAUGGCUCCUUAUAUCAGUUAUAGUUUAUUUGAUAGUAUUCUACUACUUGGAUAACCGUAGUAAUUCUAGAGCUAAUACAUGCGUAAAGUCCCGACUUUUGGAAGGGAAGUAUUUAUUAGAUUUAAGGCCAACCGAGCUUUUGCUUGUCUCUUGGUGAAUCAUGAUAACUUCACGAAUUGCAUGGCCUUUGCGCCGGCGAUAUUUCAUUCAAAUUUUUGCCCUAUCAAUUGGCGAUGGUAGGAUAGAGGCCUACCAUGGUGUUAACGGGUGACGGAGGAUUAGGGUUUGAUUCCGGAGAGGGAGCCUGAGAAACGGCUACCACAUCCAAGGAAGGCAGCAGGCGCGCAAAUUACCCAAUCCUGAUACAGGGAGGUAGUGACAAUAAAUAACAAUACCGGGCUUUUCAAGUUUGGUAAUUGGAAUGAGGACAAUUUAAAUCCCUUAACGAGGAUCC
Molecule: ribosomal RNA, 545 nt
Filed under: uncultured eukaryote
Lineage: Eukaryota
Description: bacterial SSU rRNA
Rfam family: Eukaryotic small subunit ribosomal RNA
Source: RNAcentral